GAAUUUUCCGCAAUGGGCGCAAGCCUGACGGAGCAACGCCGCGUGCCGGAAGACGGCUUUCGGGUUGUAAACGGCUUUUGUUGGGGACGAUCUGGACGGUACCCAACGAAUAAGCCCCGGCUAACUCCGUGCCAGCAGCCGCGGUAAUACGGAGGGGGCAAGCGUUGUCCGGACUUACUGGGCGUAAAGCGUGCGUAGGCGGUACGGUGCGUCGGCACUGAAAGCGGAUGGCUUAACCAUCCGAGGUGUGGCGAUACGACCGAACUGGAGGCAGGGAGAGGUUCGCGGAAUUCCGGGUGUAGUGGUGAAAUGCGUAGAGAUCCGGAGGAACGCCGGUGGCGCAAGCGGCGAACUGGCCCUGACCUGACGCUGAGGCACGAAAGCGUGGGGAGCAAACCGGAUUAGAUACCCGGGUAGUCCACGCAGUAAACGAUGUCGGCUCGGUGUGCGGUGAUGGAACACCCAUCACGGCGUGCCUAAGCUCACGCGGUAAGCCGACCGCCUGGGGACUACGAGCGCAAGCUUAAAACUCAAAGGAAUUGACGGGGGCCC
RNAcentral lists this ribosomal RNA (552 nucleotides) under uncultured Chloroflexales bacterium. RNAcentral describes it as "bacterial SSU rRNA". It matches the Rfam family "Bacterial small subunit ribosomal RNA", at positions 359 to 922 of the family's 1533-position model. The record is from RNAcentral. Lineage: Bacteria; Bacillati; Chloroflexota; Chloroflexia; Chloroflexales.